Molecule: long non-coding RNA, 657 nt
Filed under: Homo sapiens (human)
Lineage: Eukaryota; Metazoa; Chordata; Mammalia; Primates; Hominidae
Description: HSALNT0281442
Source: RNAcentral
CCUUAGGCCUCUGAGGGAGAUCUGAUAGCCUUUUCUCCAAAACAACGCCCCGGUCAGCAGGAAGCAGUUAAGGUCGGUUUUCAUCCUUAUCCUUUUCCUUAUUCUAACAGGAGUUAGAUGUACUUCUUUAGAGGGGCGAAUGAGACAGCCAGGUGGGAAGGGGCCCCCCAGGAAAACACCAACCAGCCUGCACACUGGGGUGGAGACAUAGGAAUUUGCGCCCUUUGCAGCAGUGAGGAGCCUGGCCCCACCUCUCCCUGUGUGGAAACUGGGAUUCAAACAGCAUGAGGUGGCAGGUGGGUCCUAUUAACUGGAGAACCCUUUAUGUUGAUGAGCUGGAGAGCUAAGUGGGGCUCAACUGCAUAUCACAAUGGAAGAGAAAAGAAGUGAGGGGAAGGAUGAAGAGAAUGGAGCCUAUAACGCCCCUUGGCAUUUACCAUGUUCAUACAUGCUGUCCAACUUCCAGCUGCCAGCACCUACAACCCUCAGCCUGAAGCCUUUCUUUGGACACUGGAGAUCUUUCUGAUCCUCCCCACAAGCAACCCCCAACCAAUUAUGGAUCGAGUUACUGGAUAAAUAUCCCAGCUCCCUUGUGCCAUGACUGGUAUAAAUCAGAGGCACGUUCUCCCAGGGAGAUUAUGUUCUCCUUGACUUUGG